AGAGGCUGAAACGCAAGCCUGAUCCAGCAAUGCCGCGUGCAGGAAGAAGGCCUUCGGGUUGUAAACUGCUUUUGUACGGAACGAAACGGCUCUGGUUAAUACCCGGGGCUAAUGACGGUACCGUAAGAAUAAGCACCGGCUAACUACGUGCCAGCAGCCGCGGUAAUACGUAGGGUGCAAGCGUUAAUCGGAAUUACUGGGCGUAAAGCGUGCGCAGGCGGUUAUGUAAGACAGGCGUGAAAUCCCCGGGCUCAACCUGGGAAUUUCGCUUGUGACUGCAAAGCUGGAGUGCGGCAGAGGGGGAUGGAAUUCCGCGUGUAGCAGUGAAAUGCGUAGAUAUGCGGAGGAACACCGAUGGCGAAGGCAAUCCCCUGGGCCUGCACUGACGCUCAUGCACGAAAGCGUGGGGCGCAAACAGGAUUAGAUACCCUGGUAGUCCACGCCCUAAACGAUGUCAACUGGUUGUUGGGUCUCUUCUGACUCAGUAACGAAGCUAACGCGUGAAGUUGACCGCCUGGGGAGUACGGCCGCAAGGUUGAAACUCAAAGGAAUUGACGGGACGG
RNAcentral lists this ribosomal RNA (563 nucleotides) under uncultured Hydrogenophaga sp. RNAcentral describes it as "bacterial SSU rRNA". It matches the Rfam family "Bacterial small subunit ribosomal RNA", at positions 370 to 921 of the family's 1533-position model. The record is from RNAcentral. Lineage: Bacteria; Pseudomonadati; Pseudomonadota; Betaproteobacteria; Burkholderiales; Comamonadaceae.